RNAcentral lists this long non-coding RNA (268 nucleotides) under Nicotiana benthamiana. RNAcentral describes it as "long non-coding RNA (NBEN_LNC032670)". Lineage: Eukaryota; Viridiplantae; Streptophyta; Magnoliopsida; Solanales; Solanaceae. The record is from RNAcentral.
GUAUAUCUCAUUGUAACUAAAUUUUGUUAACCACCAGAAGUGGUAUAUGCCAAUAAUCACCAGAAGUGAUAAUUUAGGCUUUCUAUGGUUACAAUUGAAGAUAAGCUAGAAAAAAUUUCUCUAUAUUAAAUGCACGCCUCAAUUUGCUCCUGAAGUAGUAAAUAUUUUAAAAGAGGUUGAAGUAUCACAAUUUGAUGUGAUUAAUAUACGUUCAGAUAAUUAUGUUCGAUUUCCUGAAGGAAGAGAACUUUUGAUUAUAUUAAUCCAU